AGUGCCGGCCGCUUGCGCCCGGUCACGGGGACUCGACGUCACAAAGAGCGGAGUAAACAGGGCGCGCGGUGCUCGCCGGCGGGCCCAUUCAUAAAACCGAGGGCGAGAGGAAGAGGGAGGCGGCCUCCGCCCGGCAGGCGGGCUGCAGCGCCCGGACUUUGUGAAUGGAGCGGGCGGCGCCUCCCCGGCCUCCGCGGCUCGUGGCCCGCCCGGCGCGCGUGGCCGAGCCGCCCCUCCACCCGGCUGCGGCGUUCGGCGUUCAGAAAGUCGCCAGCCGAGAAGCCGGCCUCGAGGAGCCAGCGCUCGGUUGGGAGGUUUCACCCCUUUUUACCUCCGUGCUCCCCCGCUGACAGCCUCGCAGGUCUGCGCCGGGGCCCGAAGCGGAGAGGAGAACCGGGCACCGCUCAGCAGCCGGCGGGCCGGGGACCUCCUCGCCCCGGGCUCCCCGAGCGCGUUCGGCGCGGCCAGUCUUUUUUCAAAUGCAAUUCCUCAGACUUCAGCUUAUGCAUUAGCGUGAUCGAUUUUCACCUUAAGCCAUUAAAUCAGCUUUAUAGCUUCCCGAGGAACGUGGGCAAGCCCCAACUUAGAAGAUGAAAGAGCAAGCCCUCCCGCCCCGAAGCCCGGGAAGAGGAGCGAGGUGACCAGGGACCCUUGCUCAAGGCCCAUCUGUAUGCCCCUGCCUUGAGUCUGAGCUGUGUCCUCUCCAGACCUGGUUUUCAGUUGAUGCAGUGAAAACCGACACAAGCUUUGGAGCCAGACAAAGGUACAACGGGCAAAACUCCAGGAACCUGGGAAAGCGCAGGGCUGGUCGCGGGUCGUCAGGCCGGGCUGCUCCGUUGGCUCAGCUGUUAAUACAGUCUGGCGGCUGGAAGUCCAAGGUCAAGGUGCCAGCAGGUCCAGUGUCUGGUGAGGAGCUGCUUCCUGGUUCACAGAUGGCCAUCUUCUCAUCGUAACCUCACAUGGCAGAGGAGCAGCGGAGCUCUCUGCGGUCGCUUUUAUAAGGGCAUGAAUCCCAUUCUUGAGGGCUCCACCCACAUGACCUCAUCUCCUCUCAAAGGCCCCACCUUCCGAUACCAUGCCAUGGGGGGUUAGGGUUUCAACAUAGGAAUUUUGAGGGAACACAAACAUUCAGUCUAAGGCAAGCUACUUGCUUCUAUACUGGGUUUUGCUUAUUUUCUGUAGCAGAAUUAAAUAAUCUUAGAUAUUGC
This 1208-nucleotide long non-coding RNA is filed under the name Equus caballus (horse). Its description in RNAcentral is "lncRNA (ENSECAG00000038651.2)". Lineage: Eukaryota; Metazoa; Chordata; Mammalia; Perissodactyla; Equidae. The record is from RNAcentral.